GGCCACCUUCGGGGGGCUUUACCAUAGGCAAAGCUGUGCUUUGCCGCAUAAGCAAACGGAAGACACAAA
Molecule: non-coding RNA, 69 nt
Submitted as: unclassified sequences
Source: Rfam